AUCUACUCAAAAGACACCAGAAGCUCAUCUCAGGAUCAGAGCCUAACACACAGACCGAAAAUAUUGUGGUUGACAGCAAUAUAAAAAGAGUUUGCUACUAUGCACUACCUCAUGUGAACACUACUGUUGCCACCUUGAGCCCAAGGGAUAUACCACCAGACUUGUGUACACACAUUAUAAUUAUAGGAGCUGAGAUACAUGAUAAUAAGAUUGUUCCUGUUGAAGAAAAUGAUUUGAAGGUAUUUGCUGAAGUAGUGGCACUUAAAGAAGUAAAUCCCAGUCUGCGUGUCUUGCUGUGUUUAGGAGGAGACU
This is a non-coding RNA of Penaeus vannamei (Pacific white shrimp), 312 nucleotides long. The record is from RefSeq and is a predicted model, not a curated record. Lineage: Eukaryota; Metazoa; Arthropoda; Malacostraca; Decapoda; Penaeidae.